Molecule: long non-coding RNA, 681 nt
Organism: Eriocheir sinensis (Chinese mitten crab)
Lineage: Eukaryota; Metazoa; Arthropoda; Malacostraca; Decapoda; Varunidae
Exons: 2
Source: RefSeq, a predicted model, not a curated record
AGAAAGAAGAAGAAAAGAGGAUAAAUAUGAGUGCGUGAAGAAAAUGUGAUAAAAGAGAAGAAGAAGAAGAAAAGAGGAUAAAUAUGAGUGCGUGAAGAAAAUGUGAUAAAAGAGAAGAAGAAGAAGAAAAGAGGAUAAAUAUGAGUGCGUGAAGAAAAUGUGAUAAAAGAGAAAAAGAAGAAGAAAAUUGGAUAAAUAUGAGUGCGUGAAGAAAAUGUGAUAAAAGAGAAUGAUAAGAAAAGGACAUCAAACCGACAUUGUGAUUUAGGGAUAAACAAACAAACAAACAAACAAACAAACAACAAAAAGAAAGAAAGUAACACACGAACUAGCAGAAGACAAAACGAAAAUUAUAAAUAAAAUAAAAAAAAUCGUAAGGAAGAGAUUUAAAGGUUGAUAAAAUAAAGGAAAAGGAAAAAAAAGAGAGAGAGAGAGGGAAAAUAAUAAGUACACGAGGGAAUAAAAGAUCAAGAAAUAAAAUAAUAAAGAAAAUAAAAGAAAAUAAAAAAAAGAUCAUGGCAAAAAGUACGAUAAUUAGGGGGAAAAAAAAUCGUUUGCAUAUACGAUUCAGGGCCGUCUUGUUUUCUCUCUCUCUCUCUCUCUCUCUCUCUCUCUCUCUCUCUCUCUCUCUCUCUCUCUCUCUCUCUCUCUCUCUCUCUCUCUCUCUCUCUCUCUCUCUCU